Gallus gallus (chicken) is the source of this 1063-nucleotide long non-coding RNA. The record is from Ensembl. Lineage: Eukaryota; Metazoa; Chordata; Aves; Galliformes; Phasianidae.
UUUCUUCUGCUGAGGUUGGGAUGUGCAGGGGAUGAAUGGAGGCACAGCUGCACUAUGGCUCUGAGGUAACUCUUUUACUGCCUUUGGGCAGCCACCACAGCAUGCCUUGAGCUGGUGGUUCAGGUGUAAAUUGUUUGCAGUGUGUUUUUGGGAAAGAAAAAACACAGACAUCUUGUAUAAGGUAUUUACAAAUCUCCAAAGUGCAUGCUAGGGUCUAUACUACUGUCUUGCUUGGCUGACGUAGGUGCACUGGAACCCACCAGACAGGGUGAUAAGCACACAUUUUUACACACACUUCACUAAGAUUUGCUUUUUUAUUGUGCUGCUCAAGAACCAUUUUUGUAGUAAUGGGUCUAGGAGAGCAAAGGCCAAAUCACACACGCUGCAUCAGGUGAAAGCCCCAUAUACCAAGUGCUCAAGGAGGAGCUAGGAGCAGCUGGCACCAGCUUCCCCCCACAGCCUGCUCCUCUUCCUCCCACCACUGUUACCUCUGGAAGCUCUGCAAGCAGCCCAUCACCUCUUACCACCUCGUGGGUAGCAGGACAGCAAAGAGAACUCAUCCUGUGCUGCAUGUGCAAUCCUGGGUGCUCCCAGCUCUCUGAGGAAGAAGUACCAGUACCAAUCCAGCAAGAGCUUCUCACAGCACUUCUCUGUAGUACUGCAAAAAUCCUGGAGCACUUGAAAUUUCCUGAGCGACCUGCAGCAGAAUUCACACUGCCGCUCCCUGUGCUGUUGAAAGCUGGCUCACACCAGGGCUCUUCAGAGCACGAAACCCACAGCAAUGCACGGUGCCAGCUGCAGCCUCCCUCUGCACCCACAAGCAGCUUUUCUGCACAGGGCAAUUACAAAACACACAAGCCACGGUGCAUGUUUGCAGGCCAGGAGGACAGGAGCUGCCUUGUUGGGACAGGGUGCACUGGCAGCAUGCUGCUCCAUCCUCAGACUGUGGUCCCUCUUCCCAACAGCCACCAGCAGCGCAUUGCGAGGGAACCCCAGCAGUGCUGUGAGCUCCCUUUGUUUUACAGAUGGUGGCAGAGCUCCUGGAAAUUAAACUAUUCUUCAU